CACGUAGGCGGUGAAUCGGGUUGAAAGUGAAAGUCGCCAAAAAAGUGGCGGAAUGCUCUCGAAACCAAUUCACUUGAGUGAGACAGAGGAGAGUGGAAUUUCGUGUGUAGGGGUGAAACCCGUAGAUCUACGAAGGAACGCCAAAAGCGAAGGCAGCUCUCUGGGUCCCUACCGACGCUGGGUGCGAAAGCAUGGGGAGCGAACA
RNAcentral lists this ribosomal RNA (205 nucleotides) under uncultured bacterium. RNAcentral's name for it is "partial 16S ribosomal RNA". It matches the Rfam family "Bacterial small subunit ribosomal RNA", at positions 568 to 774 of the family's 1533-position model. The record is from RNAcentral.